Molecule: ribosomal RNA, 450 nt
Filed under: uncultured bacterium
Lineage: Bacteria
Description: bacterial SSU rRNA
Rfam family: Bacterial small subunit ribosomal RNA
Source: RNAcentral
GUAGGGAAUCUUCCACAAUGGGCGAAAGCCUGAUGGAGCAACGCCGCGUGAGUGAAGAAGGUUUUCGGAUCGUAAAGCUCUGUUGUUGGUGAAGAAGGAUAGAGGUAGUAACUGGCCUUUAUUUGACGGUAAUCAACCAGAAAGUCACGGCUAACUACGUGCCAGCAGCCGCGGUAAUACGUAGGUGGCAAGCGUUGUCCGGAUUUAUUGGGCGUAAAGCGAGCGCAGGCGGAGAAAUAAGUCUGAUGUGAAAGCCCUCGGCUUAACCGGGGAAUUGCAUCGGAAACUGUUUUUCUUGAGUGCAGAAGAGGAGAGUGGAACUCCAUGUGUAGCGGUGGAAUGCGUAGAUAUAUGGAGGAACACCAGUGGCGAAGGCGGCUCUCUGGUCUGUAACUGACGCUGAGGCUCGAAAGCAUGGGUAGCGAACAGGAUUAGAUACCCCGGUAGUCC